CUGCCUGUGAAAUGGUUAUUUUAAGGAAAUUUUGCAGUUUUUGGUUAUUAUCUUGAAUACUAUUAUAGAUAGAGAUAAACUGUAAACAGCAAUAAUGUUCAGCAAAGAAAGACCUACAAAUAAGUCAACAUGACCAAAAUGGUCAGUCGACCCCUUAAGGAGUAAUUGCCCUUUAUAGUCAAUUUUUAACAACUUUUCGUCAUUUUUUGUUACUUUUCUAAAAAUCUUCUUCUCUGAAACUACUUUGCCAAAUUUAACCAAACUUGGCCACAAUUAUCAUUGUGGUUUAUAGUUUAUAAAAUGUGUCCGAUGACCCAGCCUACCAAACAAAAUGGCCGACAUGGCUAAAAUUAGAACAUAGUGGUAAAAUGCAGUUUUUGCUUUAUAUCUUUGAAACUAAGACAUUUAGGGCAAAUCUUUCAAGAUUUUAAUGUCCAUCAGAUUAAGAUAUAUCCCCUCACAAAUUUUCAAUUGAAUCGGACAACCUGUUGUCGGGUUGCUGCCCUAAAAUUGGUGAUUUUAAGGAAAUUUUGCAGUUUUUGGUUAUUAUCUUGAAUACUAUUAUAGAUACAGAUAAACUGUAAACAGCAAUAAUGUUCAGCAAAGUAAGAUCUACAAAUAAGUCAGCAUGAUCAAAAUUGUUAGAGGACCC
Molecule: long non-coding RNA, 652 nt
Filed under: Mytilus galloprovincialis (Mediterranean mussel)
Lineage: Eukaryota; Metazoa; Mollusca; Bivalvia; Mytilida; Mytilidae
Source: RNAcentral